This 497-nucleotide ribosomal RNA is filed under the name uncultured bacterium. RNAcentral describes it as "partial 16S ribosomal RNA". It matches the Rfam family "Bacterial small subunit ribosomal RNA", at positions 28 to 507 of the family's 1533-position model. The record is from RNAcentral.
GAUGAACGCUGGCGGCGUGCCUAAUACAUGCAAGUCGAGCGAACGGUCGAGAACUUUGCUUUUCUGAUGUUAGCGGCGGACGGGUGAGUAACACGUGGAUAACCUACCUAUCAGACUGGGAUAACUUCGGGAAACCGGAGCUAAUACCGGAUAAUCUUUUGAACUGCAUUGUUCAAACGUGAAAGACGCUCUUGCUGUCACUUAUAGAUGGAUCCGCGCUGCAUUAGCUAGUUGGUAAGGUAACGGCUUACCAAGGCAACGAUUCAUAGCCGACCUGAGGGGGAGAAUGGCCACACUGGAGCAGAGGCACGGCCCAGACUCCUACGAGAGGCCGCAGUAGGGACUCUUCCGCCAUGGGGGAGAGCCUGACGGAGCAACGCCGGGUGAGUGAUGAAGGUCUUCGGCUCGGAGAACUCUGAUAUUAGGGAAGAACAUAUGUGUAAGUAACUGUGCACAUCUUGACGGUACCUAAUCAGAAAGCAACGGCUAACUACGUG